CCGGUGUCGACUUACUAGCUGCAAGCCUCUGCCUGCCUUCCUGCGCGCCGUUCCCCGCUAGUCGCUGCUGCUGGCGCGCACUCGCCGGGUUUUUCCUCCCACGGCCUCGAGAUGGUGGUGAAUGUGGCACGGAGGAGCCGGGCCUUCCAACCCGGUGGGCCCGAGCUCCGAAAGGCCCCCUCGGCAGUGAGAGGGGCGGGAGCCCGCGGGGGCCGCGCCCUUCUCUCGCUUCGGACUGCGCAACGCUGCGCUCUGGGCUGACAGGCGGAUAAAACGGUCCCAUCAAGACUGAGAAAAAGCACACCAGCUAUUGGCACAGCGUGGGCAGUGGGGCCUACAGGAUGACUGACUUAGUCUACAGAGAUCCCGGCGUACUUAAGCAGGUAGUAAUGAUGGACAGAUGAAGACUCUUAAGAUGACAGAAGGUGAUUUUUCUGGUGAUCGAGGACUUCCGGGGUAAUGACAGUGAUGAAAUGCAGGGGACCUGGUUGCCCCCAAGUUUCCUGGCAGUGUGUGAUACUGAGGAGGUGAGCUUGUUUCUGGAGCUGUGCUUUAAGGUAAAGUUGAUCAGCUUAAUCCUCCUGAUCCCUUUCCCAUCGGAUCUGAACACUGGUCUUGGUGGUCGUAAAAGGAGGAAAAGUAAUAGUGAAGCUGGCCUAAAUGUUGUAAUCUGGUAUAUGGCAUGUGGGCUAGUUUCAGACAGGUUUCAGAGAUGGUUGGAUCUCUGAAAUUGUAAAAUGAAGUAUAAUCUUAGGCUAAGGGAAGGAUGCGUGUGAAGCUCUGGAGAUUCAUGUUACAUGUAAAGCUGUCCUCAUUUGUGACUAUGGACCUAUGGAGUUGGGACAAUCUCUAUGGGAAGCAGAAGGCAAGGACCCCGGUCAUUUUAGGUAGAAACAACAGCAUGCUAAUGCAAAAAAUUAUGCAGUGUGCUACUGAACUUCAGAGGUGAUCAAUAAAAGAAGAAUAAAA
This 969-nucleotide long non-coding RNA is filed under the name Homo sapiens (human). RNAcentral's name for it is "HSALNT0291038". The stretch from base 576 to 705 matches the Rfam family "Small nucleolar RNA SNORA61". Lineage: Eukaryota; Metazoa; Chordata; Mammalia; Primates; Hominidae. The record is from RNAcentral.